UCCAGGAUGAAGCUGAAAAGAAGGUAUGAUAUUUGCAAUGAAUUUCUAUGUUGCUAUUUCCCACAAAUAUGAUAGUAGCAGAAUGGUUCAAAAUCAAUGCUGAAUACAAAUCAUAAAUUUAAUCUGAAUUCUGUAGUUGUCAAUUUUACUCUACCACAAUGCAGCUUCAUUUGCUUGAAUUUAAAUUGAGUACUUUUUCGACCACCUGCAGGCAAGGAUUGAGAAG
RNAcentral lists this unclassified non-coding RNA (226 nucleotides) under Hevea brasiliensis (rubber tree). The record is from RNAcentral. Lineage: Eukaryota; Viridiplantae; Streptophyta; Magnoliopsida; Malpighiales; Euphorbiaceae.